CAUGGUUGUCGUCAGCUCGUGCCGUGAGGUGUCGGGUUAAGUCCCAUAACGAGCGCAACCCUUAUCGUUAGUUGCCAUCUGGUAAUGCAGGGGACUCUAGCGAAACUGCCACCGUAAGGUGAGAGGAAGGUGGGGAUGACGUCAAAUCAGCACGGCCCUUAUGUCCAGGGCUACACACGUGUUACAAUGGUCGGUACAGAGGGCAGCUACCUGGUGACAGGAUGCUAAUCUCGAAAACCGGUCUCAGUUCGGAUCGAAGUCUGCAACUCGACUUCGUGAAGCUGGAUUCGCUAGUAAUCGCGCAUCAGCUAUGGCCGCGGUCGAAUACGUUCCCGGGCCUU
RNAcentral lists this ribosomal RNA (341 nucleotides) under uncultured Sphingobacteriales bacterium. RNAcentral describes it as "bacterial SSU rRNA". It matches the Rfam family "Bacterial small subunit ribosomal RNA", at positions 1044 to 1382 of the family's 1533-position model. The record is from RNAcentral. Lineage: Bacteria; Pseudomonadati; Bacteroidota; Sphingobacteriia; Sphingobacteriales.